CCGGGCGCCUUGUUCGGGUCCGGUGGGACAUAGAGGGCGCCGGCUCUCCGUUACCGGCGCAGCUCAUGCCCAGAUCGCUUCACGAGGAGGAUUUGGUGAUGAGAA
Regulatory RNA element from Sphingomonas sanxanigenens, 105 nucleotides. It matches the Rfam family "Repression of heat shock gene expression (ROSE) element". Rfam says of the family: This family represents a 5' UTR cis-regulatory element found in heat shock mRNAs and is known as the ROSE (repression of heat shock gene expression) element. The ROSE element is a negative regulator of heat shock gene expression. The record is from Rfam. NCBI's taxonomy places the organism in Bacteria, Pseudomonadati, Pseudomonadota, Alphaproteobacteria, Sphingomonadales, Sphingomonadaceae.